UUGCUUGGUGGAUCAGUGGCGAACGGGUGAGUAACACGUGAGCAACCUGCCCUGGACUCUGGGAUAAGCGCUGGAAACGGCGUCUAAUACUGGAUAUGAGCUUCUACCACAUGGUGGGGGUUGGAAAGAUUUUUCGGUCUGGGAUGGGCUCGCGGCCUAUCAGCUUGUUGGUGAGGUAAUGGCUCACCAAGGCGUCGACGGGUAGCCGGCCUGAGAGGGUGACCGGCCACACUGGGACUGAGACACGGCCCAGACUCCUACGGGAGGCAGCAGUGGGGAAUAUUGCACAAUGGGCGGAAGCCUGAUGCAGCAACGCCGCGUGAGGGAUGACGGCCUUCGGGUUGUAAACCUCUUUUAGCAAGGAAGAAGCGGAAGUGACGGUACUUGCAGAAAAAGCGCCGGCUAACUACGUGCCAGCAGCCGCGGUAAUACGUAGGGCGCAAGCGUUAUCCGGAAUUAUUGGGCGUAAAGAGCUCGUAGGCGGUUUGUCGCGUCUGCUGUGAAAUCCCGAGGCUCAACCUCGGGCCUGCAGUGGGUACGGGCAGACUAGAGUGCGGUAGGGGAGAUUGGAAUUCCUGGUGUAGCGGUGGAAUGCGCAGAUAUCAGGAGGAACACCGAUGGCGAAGGCAGAUCUCUGGGCCGUAACUGACGCUGAGGAGCGAAAGGGUGGGGAGCAAACAGGCUUAGAUACCCUGGUAGUCCACCCCGUAAACGUUGGGAACUAGUUGUGGGGUCCUUUCCACGGAUUCCGUGACGCAGCUAACGCAUUAAGUUCCCCGCCUGGGGAGUACGGCCGCAAGGCUAAAACUCAAAGGAAUUGACGGGGACCCGCACAAGCGGCGGAGCAUGCGGAUUAAUUCGAUGCAACGCGAAGAACCUUACCAAGGCUUGACAUACACGAGAACACUCUAGAAAUAGGGGACUCUUUGGACACUCGUGAACAGGUGGGUGCAUGGUUGUCGUCAGCUCGUGUCGUGAAAUGUUGGGUUAAGUCCCGCAACGAGCGCAACCCUCGUUCUAUGUUGCCA
RNAcentral lists this ribosomal RNA (1028 nucleotides) under Microbacterium sp. RNAcentral's name for it is "bacterial SSU rRNA". It matches the Rfam family "Bacterial small subunit ribosomal RNA", at positions 80 to 1120 of the family's 1533-position model. The record is from RNAcentral. Lineage: Bacteria; Bacillati; Actinomycetota; Actinomycetes; Micrococcales; Microbacteriaceae.